RNAcentral lists this ribosomal RNA (920 nucleotides) under uncultured bacterium. Its description in RNAcentral is "bacterial SSU rRNA". It matches the Rfam family "Bacterial small subunit ribosomal RNA", at positions 69 to 985 of the family's 1533-position model. The record is from RNAcentral.
GCAGCACGGGGGCAACCCUGGUGGCGAGUGGCGAACGGGUGAGUAACAUAUCGGAACGUGCCCUGGAGUGGGGGAUAACUAGUCGAAAGAUUAGCUAAUACCGCAUACGAUCUACGGAUGAAAGUGGGGGAUCGCAAGACCUCAUGCUCGUGGAGCGGCCGAUAUCUGAUUAGCUAGUUGGUGGGGUAAAGGCCUACCAAGGCAUCGAUCAGUAGCUGGUCUGAGAGGACGACCAGCCACACUGAGACUGAGACACGGCCCAGACUCCUACGGGAGGCAGCAGUGGGGAAUUUUGGACAAUGGGCGCAAGCCUGAUCCAGCAAUGCCGCGUGAGUGAAGAAGGCCUUCGGGUUGUAAAGCUCUUUUGUCAGGGAAGAAACGGUGGAGGUUAAUACCUUCUGCUAAUGACGGUACCUGAAGAAUAAGCACCGGCUAACUACGUGCCAGCAGCCGCGGUAAUACGUAGGGUGCAAGCGUUAAUCGGAAUUACUGGGCGUAAAGCGUGCGCAGGCGGUUGUGCAAGACAGAUGUGAAAUCCCCGGGCUCAACCUGGGAAUUGCAUUUGUGACUGUACGGCUAGAGUGUGUCAGAGGGGGGUAGAAUUCCACGUGUAGCAGUGAAAUGCGUAGAGAUGUGGAGGAAUACCGAUGGCGAAGGCAGCCCCCUGGGAUAACACUGACGCUCAUGCACGAAAGCGUGGGGAGCAAACAGGAUUAGAUACCCUGGUAGUCCACGCCCUAAACGAUGUCUACUAGUUGUCGGGUCUUUAUUGACUUGGUAACGCAGCUAACGCGUGAAGUAGACCGCCUGGGGAGUACGGUCGCAAGAUUAAAACUCAAAGGAAUUGACGGGGACCCGCACAAGCGGUGGAUGAUGUGGAUUAAUUCGAUGCAACGCGAAAAACCUUACCUACCCUUGAC